GAUGAACGCUGGCGGCGUGCCUAAUACAUGCAAGUCGAGCGAACAGACGAGGAGCUUGCUCCUCUGACGUUAGCGGCGGACGGGUGAGUAACACGUGGAUAACCUACCUAUAAGACUGGGAUAACUUCGGGAAACCGGAGCUAAUACCGGAUAAUAUAUUGAACCGCAUGGUUCAAUAGUGAAAGACGGUUUUGCUGUCACUUAUAGAUGGAUCCGCGCCACAUUAGCUAGUUGGUAAGGUAACGGCUUACCAAGGCAACGAUGCGUAGCCGACCUGAGAGGGUGAUCGGCCACACUGGAACUGAGACACGGUCCAGACUCCUACGGGAGGCAGCAGUAGGGAAUCUUCCGCAAUGGGCGAAAGCUUGACGGAACAACGCCGCGUGAGUGAUGAAGGUCUUCGGAUCGUAAAACUCUGUUAUUAGGGAAGAACAAAUGUGUAAGUAACUAUGCACGUCUUGACGGUACCUAAUCAGAAAGCCACGGCUAACUACGUG
This 497-nucleotide ribosomal RNA is filed under the name uncultured bacterium. Its description in RNAcentral is "partial 16S ribosomal RNA". It matches the Rfam family "Bacterial small subunit ribosomal RNA", at positions 28 to 507 of the family's 1533-position model. The record is from RNAcentral.